AAGAUCAAAGCGCAUAAACCCUAGCUCGAAAAUCUCGCGAUAAAUAAAAAAAAUUGCCUCGUCUGCAAUCUCCGCUUAUCUCUCCGUCGAGAAGACCAAUCUCUCUCCUGCUGUCAUUACUACCCUGAAAGAGCUGCUGCAUGCCAAUGGUUCGAGAAAAAGACGUCUGUUGGGAAUAUGCAGAUAAAUUAGAAGGAAACAAGGUAAGAUGCAAAUUUUGCCAAAGGGUUUUAAAUGGAGGCAUCAGUAGAUUGAAGCACCAUCUAUCUCGGCUUCCAAGUAAAGGAGUAAAUCCUUGUAGCAAGGUCAGAGACGAUGUUACUGAUAGGGUGAGGGCAAUUAUUGCAUCAAAGGAAGAUGUCAAAGAAAACUCUAGCGCGAAAAAGCAGAAGCUACCAGAAGUCAAGUCUCCAAGUCCUGUUUCUGGAACUAAAACUCUUUUGUCUAUAGAUGCAGCGUCUCCUGUUAUGAAGGGCUUCCUUACAGUCAGUCCUGUGACUCCUCCCUCUGUGAACCACCAAGAGAAUGCAGAGAAAAGUAUUGCUCUCUUCUUUUUUGAGAAUAAGCUUGACUUCAGUGUUGCACGGUCGUCAUCCUAUCAACUAAUGAUUGACGCCAUAGGGAAGUGUGGCCCUGGAUUUACUGGUCCAUCAGCAGAGAUGUUGAAGACAACAUGGUUGGAAAGGAUAAAGUCAGAAGUUGGCUUACAGUCCAAAGACGUUGAGAAAGAGUGGGCUACCACAGGUUGUACAAUUAUCGCAGACACAUGGACUGACAAUAAAUCAAGAGCCUUAAUUAAUUUCUUAGUCUCAUCACCAUCCAGGACAUUUUUCCACAGAUCUGUGGAUGCAUCUGCAUAUUUCAAGAGCACAAAAGGCCUUGCUGAACUUUUUGACUCUGUUAUUCAAGAGUUCAGCCCCGAAAAUGUUGUGCAAAUUAUCAUGGAUAGCAGUUUUAACUACAUUGGCAUUGCCAAUCAUAUUGUUCAGAACUAUGGAACUAUAUUUGUCUCUCCUUGUGCUUCCCAAUGUUUAAACCUAAUUUUGGAGGAAUUCUCAAAGGUAGAUUGGGUAAGCAGAUGUGUUUUACAAGCACAGACCAUAUCAAAGUUUAUAUACAAUAAUGCAUUGUUGCUUGAUCUUAUGAAGAAGUUCACUGGGGGCCAGGAACUGAUCAGGACCGGUAUCACAAAAUCAGUAUCCACCUUCCUGUCAUUACACUCCAUGCUGAAGCAAAAAUCAAGAUUGAAGCAUAUGUUCCACAGCCCUGAAUAUGCUUCAAACUCCUCAUAUGCAAGUAAACCGCAAAGUCUAUCUUGUAUUGCAAUUGCUGAAGAUCUUGAUUUCUGGAGGACAGUGGAAGAGUGUGUGGCUAUCUCCGAGCCUUUUCUGAAAGUCUUGAGAGAAGUUUCUGAAGGAAAACCAACUGUAGGUUCCAUAUACGAACUAAUGACGAGGGCAAAGGAGUCGAUUAGGACAUACUACAUAAUGGAUGAGAACAAGUGCAAGACAUUCUUAGAUAUCGUGGAUGAAAAGUGGCGGGACCAACUCCAUUCUCCUUUACACGCCGCUGCCGCCUUCUUGAACCCUAGUAUUCAAUAUAAUCCUGAAAUAAAAUUUCUUUCCUCUAUAAAAGAAGAUUUCUACAAGGUUUUGGAGAAACUACUUCCUGUACCUGACAUGAGGCGUGAUAUCACUAAUCAAAUAUAUACAUUUACAAAGGCUCAUGGGAUGUUUGGUUGUAGCCUAGCAAAGGAGGCAAGAACUACAGUCUCGCCGUGUAAGUAUGAAAUUGCGCCCUUGUUCUCUGUGUCUCAAAGGCCUUAUUUUGUCAGCUGAUUGUUUCAACGAGUAAAUUUCAUGAAAUCUCCUUUGGCCAAAAAAAAAGAAAAAAAUCACAAAAUCUUGGGGACGGACUUCAUUUUAUCAUUUAUAGCCAUAAGAUGCAGAAAACAGACCAUGUAUUUUGGAGCGUAGCUCACGCCAAGUUUCCUCUAGUUGUUACAAAAAACUUUGUUUGAGGUGUUAUUUUAUGUAGAAUUUAAUCCAUUAUUUCCCAGGAUCAUGCUAACCACGAGUAGCUGUUCAUAGGUUUCAAAACUUCGAAGUGGUCCCUGUUAUUUUUUCCUAUGGGCUAUUGAUUAUUCAUUAUGAAUUUUUUUCUGAGCAUUGUGGGCUUUAUCUUGCCCAUAGGAAAUGAAAAUUUCUGAAACUUGGUUUUGCUUGGUUUUUGAUCUGGGAAGCCACUAAUCUAAUUUCAACACGAACUAUAUAUUCCGGUCUGGAGGAGGGCAGAAGGUUCGAUUCGUGAAAUCGUAAGGGGACGCAUUUAAAAGAAAUGGUUCACAACUAAAUUAGCCGUGGCUAUAUUUUCAAGUGAUGGCAGGCUGGCAGCUUCCCCUUCCACAACAUGUGCUUAUUGCUUUGGGUCUUUGUCAUUAUUUCUUAGAGGCUUUGGUGGGAACAAUAUGGUGACUCUGCCCCUGGGUUGCAACGAGUGGCCAUUAGAAUAUUAAGUCAAGUCUGUAGCA
Molecule: RNA transcript, 2530 nt
Organism: Neltuma alba
Lineage: Eukaryota; Viridiplantae; Streptophyta; Magnoliopsida; Fabales; Fabaceae
Exons: 4
Source: RefSeq, a predicted model, not a curated record